This 336-nucleotide unclassified non-coding RNA is filed under the name soil metagenome. RNAcentral's name for it is "partial contains 5.8S ribosomal RNA, internal transcribed spacer 2, and large subunit ribosomal RNA". The stretch from base 1 to 120 matches the Rfam family "5.8S ribosomal RNA", at positions 35 to 154 of the family's 154-position model. The record is from RNAcentral.
GAUGAAGAACGUAGCGAAAUGCGAUAAGUAAUGUGAAUUGCAGAAUUCAGUGAAUCAUCGAAUCUUUGAACGCACAUUGCGCCCGCCAGUAUUCUGGCGGGCAUGCCUGUUCGAGCGUCAUUUCAACCAUCAAGCCCCAGGCUUGUGUUGGGGACCUGCGGCUGCCGCAGGCCCUGAAAACCAGUGGCGGGCUCGCUGUCACACCGGGCGUAGUAGAUUUUAUCUCGCUCAGGGCGUGCUGCGGGUUCCGGCCGUUAAAAAGCCUUUUUUACCCAAGGUUGACCUCGGAUCAGGUAGGAAUAUCCGCUGAACUUAAGCAUAUCAAUAAGCGGAGGA